GCAGCUGUUAACCUUGAAUUCCGCUGUCAAACACGAUUUUUUAAACAAUGAAAUAGAAAAAACACCGACUGAUGGCUUCGACGGAAACAUACACCAUCAGUGAACCUCGUAGCUCACGGGAGGAAGGAGGGAUGCCCGUCGCAGAGUCCUUGACACUGUCAUCCACCCAGGGUAGUUCCAUUGCCAUCCGCCGGGUGACGGAGUAGCCCGACUGCCUGGAUGGGGGGAACGGCCGCCGUCUGCGGGGCGAGUGGGGACUGGAUUUCCCGACUGCCUGGAGAGAUGAAGCCACUGCCAGGGGCGGAGGAGUGCCCUGCCGUCCCCACGUGCCACCAUAAAAGCGGAGGGGCAUCUGUCCACUGGGGUUCGGAGGUUUGACACAGGUCCGCCGGGGUGGAGCGGCUGUCGUCUGCCUGAGAGUGUGGAGGAGUGAUCGGGGACCACGCGAUGGCGCAUCAGAGAACCGGUCGAGGAAGGCGGGGAUGACCAGCUGGCAGAUGGGCACGCCCCUCCCCGGGGAAAGAGGCUCCCCGGCCUGAGGCAACGCCGGGAGGAGUGUAGAGCGGAGGGGGCGGGCUGGAAUGACAAUCAGCCUGAUGGGGCGCGCGAGGGAUAAAGGCGGCCAGUGACGACAGUUCGAGAGAGAGAGAAUUAUGGGCAGCUGCCCUGUAUGUGUUUGUGUGUGAAGCCGGUUCUUGCCUCCUUCUUUCCAUUAACCCCUUUACAGAGUACUGUAUGACUUUUAAGGGGGCAGUUCAACAGCAUAUAAUUAGUUGGCUGUAUUUAUUAUAGUAAGUAGCUUACCCGUAAUAAGGGCUCUAUAAGCGCUCUAUAGAGAGAUGACUUGUGUGGAGAUGGACGCCACAUCCAGGUUAAAAAAAUCACGCGGACGUGUUUUGUGAGGACCAUCUGCUGCCAAACAUAUAUCCUGUAAGGACACACCAUUUGUCCACGCCCAUGAAGAGGCCAUGUCUCUGGAUGAAUGCGCUUUGACACCAGUAGGGCAACUCGCACCCUGUGAUUAAUAAGCAAGGACGAUCGCAUUAGCGAUCUCUUCUGAAAAUCAGAAAAAACACCCUGCUGGUAGAAGGCCGGUGCUGUCUAUGGUACUAGAGCAGCCAAGCAAGUCAAGAGCGAUGCGUUUACGCCUGAGGCUUCAGGUGUGAUGUGGAACAUGUCGUUUAAGCCAGUACUGGAAAGGUCUCAUGUGUAACAGACCUAAUGGUAUGACUGCCGAUGCUGCCUCCAUAAAACCCAACAUUCAGAAAUAAAUGUU
Xyrauchen texanus (razorback sucker) is the source of this 1276-nucleotide long non-coding RNA. RefSeq lists it as uncharacterized. Lineage: Eukaryota; Metazoa; Chordata; Actinopteri; Cypriniformes; Catostomidae. The transcript is spliced from 3 exons. The record is from RefSeq and is a predicted model, not a curated record.